RNAcentral lists this ribosomal RNA (408 nucleotides) under uncultured bacterium. Its description in RNAcentral is "bacterial SSU rRNA". It matches the Rfam family "Bacterial small subunit ribosomal RNA", at positions 354 to 777 of the family's 1533-position model. The record is from RNAcentral.
GUGGGGAAUAUUGGGCAAUGGGGGAAACCCUGACCCAGCGACGCCGCGUGAGGGAAGAAGGUUUUCGGAUUGUAAACCUCUGUCUUUGGGGACGAAACGAAUGACGGUACCCAAGGAGGAAGCCACGGCUAACUACGUGCCAGCAGCCGCGGUAAUACGUAGGUGGCAAGCGUUGUCCGGAAUUACUGGGUGUAAAGGGAGCGUAGGCGGGAUGCUAAGCAAAUUGUGAAACCAAUCGGCUCAACCGGUUGUUGCGAUUUGAACUGGCGUCCUUGAGUGGAGUAGAGGCAGGCGGAAUUCCCAGUGUAGCGGUGAAAUGCGUAGAUAUUGGGAGGAACACCAGUGGCGAAGGCGGCCUGCUGGGCUCUAACUGACGCUGAAGCUCGAAAGUGUGGGUAGCAAACAGGA